CUGGUUUCCUGUUCCUACCGAAAAGAUGACCAAAGCUUCAGGCAACCACAGUCCGCAAUGCAGAACAACAUGGUGGCGAGGAUGACCACCCCUUCUCCCAGUGACCAGUGCUGAUUUUACUUAUACUAGAGGCUCAGGCUCAAGGGAAUCCAAACGCUGUAUUAUCUAUAAAG
Molecule: long non-coding RNA, 173 nt
Organism: Silurus meridionalis
Lineage: Eukaryota; Metazoa; Chordata; Actinopteri; Siluriformes; Siluridae
Exons: 3
Source: RefSeq, a predicted model, not a curated record